UCCUAGCCCUGAUAGCAGCGGCAUCCUUUAUGUUCUUUUUUUAAGAACAUAAAGAUACAGCGGAGAGCGGGAAGUAGC
This 78-nucleotide small RNA is filed under the name Flavobacterium glaciei. Its description in RNAcentral is "Flavo-1 RNA". It matches the Rfam family "Flavo-1 RNA". The record is from RNAcentral. Lineage: Bacteria; Pseudomonadati; Bacteroidota; Flavobacteriia; Flavobacteriales; Flavobacteriaceae.